CGGUCGGCAGCGCGGUCGCUCGUGGUCAGUACCGAGUUCAAUGUCAAUAUCAGAGGAACCGCAAUUGUUGCCGCUGCAAUAGUGCAAUCGUCACACUUCGCAAUCACAGUUCUUGGAUAUUCGGCGAUAUACAUUAUAAAUAUAUAACGCAGACUUCCGUACGCGACGAUAUUUAGUUUUUUCCAGUUAUUUUCGAUUUCCGUCUCCACGUGUACCUACAUCCGUUUCGCAUCCACGGCGAGGUCGUAAUCGUUUCGCAGUCGUUAUAUCGCGGGUUUUUGGCGUUUUCCGUCGGUCAUUGUGAUAUUAUACCCACAGGAGGUACCUAUAUCUUCUACAAUAUUAUACACUCUUAUAAUCUCGUCAUCCGCGAAGCCCGACAUGUACGUGAACCCGUGGAUCAGGAAACACUCGACCAUCAGACAGGUGAUCGACAAGUUGCUGUCGAUCAACACGAACAAGACGAAGAAGUUCGACGCGAUGCUGAACAAGAAAAAGCACUCCGGAAGUAACCGAACGGCGGCGGCGACGGCGGCGGCGAGGGCGGACAAGCGACGAAAAUGUUAGCACACCGGCCGGGCGCGAGACGAAAGUCGUGCAGCGGAUUUUUAUUUUUUUUCGCGCACGGUCGAGUAGAGUAACGCGACAAGAAAAUAUGUCCGUCCGAAAAUGUUCCUACCUGUAUGUAUUAAUAUAUUAUUAUACUGUCAUCGUCCAUACCGCAAAUAUUUGGAUGAUAACCGCCACGGUUAUGAUAAACCUACGCCGGAGAGAGGCGCUACAGCUUCCGCCAAUGCCACCGCCGAAGAAUAUAUAAUAUAAUAUACCUAUAACAUAAUAUAUAUAUAAUAUACGUUUGCUAUACGUUUUGUACCCUCGUAUCGUAGUAUAACCUAUAGUAUAGUAUUAUUAUAGCUGUAUAAUAUAAUAUAUGAUGAUCAAGGCCACAAAUGAAGGCGCCGCAUCCAAUAUUAUGAAAAAUGAUAAUUAUUAUAUGUACGCCGAUUGUAAAUAUAUUUAUACAUAAUAUGCAGCACAAGUAUACUACGUCUCACACUCCGAGCACGCGAGCUGUUUGUCGGGGUCAUCCGGAUAUAAUUUAAACAAUUCAACGUCCGGAACAUAAUAUGACCACAGUGUUAUACGAUGUACCCGGAUGACAUAUUCUGCUGGUCCACUUGCCGUCAAUUUAGUCAAAACGGAUUUGGACUGCACCUAAGUAGAAUAUAAUCAUCAUCAUCAUCAUCACCACCAUAUUAUUAUUAUACCGACGACCAUGGAGACAGAUUCGCGUUCUCGAGUGACAAUGAACGACAACGCAUCGUCUGCAGCCACAUUAGAUUUACGUAAAAGCAGAUUAAAAUUUUAUUUGGUUAUACAGUUAAGUCAGAAAAUCUAUCGGAAUUACGAAUACUACUUGAAGAUGUUUAAGACAACUAUUAUUUAUACUAUUUUCAACGUAUGUGCUUGUAAUAUUAUUUUU
Myzus persicae (green peach aphid) is the source of this 1483-nucleotide long non-coding RNA. RefSeq lists it as uncharacterized. The record is from RefSeq and is a predicted model, not a curated record. Lineage: Eukaryota; Metazoa; Arthropoda; Insecta; Hemiptera; Aphididae. The transcript is spliced from 3 exons.